Molecule: ribosomal RNA, 439 nt
Filed under: Stenonema sp. RH-2002
Lineage: Eukaryota; Metazoa; Arthropoda; Insecta; Ephemeroptera; Heptageniidae
Description: eukaryotic LSU rRNA
Rfam family: Eukaryotic large subunit ribosomal RNA
Source: RNAcentral
CCCAAAGGCGUAUUGAACGAAAAGGCCGUCCUCCGCGUCGGCUGAGGGAAGAUGGGCGUCCGCUCUGCGGGCGCCCCGCAUUCCCGGGGCGUCUCGUGCUACCGUCGCUCGUCGGCGGAAGCUGAGGCGCACCCAGAGCGCACACGUUGGUACCCGAAAGAUGGUGAACUAUGCCUGGCCAGGACGAAGCCAGGGGAAACCCUGGUGGAGGUCCGUAGCGAUUCUGACGUGCAAAUCGAUCGUCAGAGCUGGGUAUAGGGGCGAAAGACUAAUCGAACCAUCUAGUAGCUGGUUCCCUCCGAAGUUUCCCUCAGGAUAGCUGGCGUUCGGAGAUUCGAGUCCCAUCCGGUAAAGCGAAUGAUUAGAGGCCAUGGGGUCGAAACGACCUCAACCUAUUCUCAAACUCUAAAUGGGUGGGAUCCGCGGCUUGUUUGAACGU